GCUAUCAUUUCCAUGCUUGCCAUCAAAUUUUUUAUCCAGUCAGAUUGUUUUUGGAGUAGGAUGAUGAAGGCCCAAUAUGGGAUAUGAAGCUAGGAGUCCCAGAUCGAGGCCCCCCAUGGUUGCUCUUUCCUCUGGAUGGAGAUUUGUAUUCGCAGGCCUGCUAUGUUGGCUUAGGUCAGAUGGUUGAUUGGGGAUGGGACUUCGAUGGUCGUGAGC
RNAcentral lists this long non-coding RNA (216 nucleotides) under Elaeis guineensis (African oil palm). Its description in RNAcentral is "long non-coding RNA (EGUI_LNC042274)". The record is from RNAcentral. Lineage: Eukaryota; Viridiplantae; Streptophyta; Magnoliopsida; Arecales; Arecaceae.